RNAcentral lists this ribosomal RNA (447 nucleotides) under uncultured bacterium. RNAcentral describes it as "SSU rRNA". It matches the Rfam family "Bacterial small subunit ribosomal RNA", at positions 26 to 518 of the family's 1533-position model. The record is from RNAcentral.
AGGAUGAACGCUGGCGGUCUGCUUAACACAUGCAAGUCGAACGGAGUACCUCGGUACUUAGUGGCGGACGGGUGAGUAACGCGUGAGAAUCUGCCCUUAGGUCGGGGACAACCAUUGGAAACGAUGGCUAAUACCGGAUAAGCCGAGAGGUAAAAGAUUAAUUGCCUAGGGAAGAGCUCGCGUCUGAUUAGCUAGUUGGUGAGGUAAAGGCUCACCAAGGCAUCGAUCAGUAGCUGGUCUGAGAGGAUGAUCAGCCACACUGGGACUGAGACACGGCCCAGACUCCUACGGGAGGCAGCAGUGGGGAAUUUCCGCAAUGGGCGAAAGCCUGACGGAGCAAGACCGCGUGAGGGAGGAAGGCUCGUUGGGUUGUAAACCUCUUUUCGUGGGAAGAACAAAUGACGGUACCAAGGAAUCAGCAUCGGCUAACUCCGUGCCAGCAGCCGC